AUGCAAGUCGAACGAGAGAAUUGCUAGCUUGCUAAUAAUUCUCUAGUGGCGCACGGGUGAGUAACACGUGAGUAACCUGCCCCCGAGAGCGGGAUAGCCCUGGGAAACUGGGAUUAAUACCGCAUAGUAUCGAAAGAUUAAAGCAGCAAUGCGCUUGGGGAUGGGCUCGCGGCCUAUUAGUUAGUUGGUGAGGUAACGGCUCACCAAGGCGAUGACGGGUAGCCGGUCUGAGAGGAAGGUCCCCACAUUGGAACUGAGACACGGUCCAAACUCC
RNAcentral lists this ribosomal RNA (274 nucleotides) under uncultured Akkermansia sp. Its description in RNAcentral is "partial 16S ribosomal RNA". It matches the Rfam family "Bacterial small subunit ribosomal RNA", at positions 55 to 339 of the family's 1533-position model. The record is from RNAcentral. Lineage: Bacteria; Pseudomonadati; Verrucomicrobiota; Verrucomicrobiia; Verrucomicrobiales; Akkermansiaceae.